This 720-nucleotide non-coding RNA is filed under the name Beta vulgaris subsp. vulgaris (sugar beet). Its description in RNAcentral is "Bacterial small subunit ribosomal RNA". It matches the Rfam family "Bacterial small subunit ribosomal RNA", at positions 639 to 1358 of the family's 1533-position model. Lineage: Eukaryota; Viridiplantae; Streptophyta; Magnoliopsida; Caryophyllales; Amaranthaceae. The record is from Rfam by way of RNAcentral.
AGCUAGAGGAUGGUUAGGGAAAACGGAAUUCCACGUGUAGCGGUGAAAUGCGUAGAUAUGUGGAAGAACACCGGUGGUGAAGACGGUUUUCUGGGCCAAACCUGACGCUGAGGCGCGAAAGCUAGGGGAGCAAACAGGAUUAGAUACCCUGGUAGUCCUAGCCUUAAACGAUGCAUACUAGAUGUAGGCGGGCUCAACCCUGUCUGUAUCGGAGCUAACGCAUUAAGUAUGCCGCCUGGGGAGUACGCUCGCAAGGGUGAAACUCAAAAGAAUUGACGGGGGCCCGCACAAGCAGUGGAGCAUGUGGUUUAAUUCGAUGCAACGCGAAGAACCUUACCUGGGCUCGAAAUGUAGAGGACGAUAACAGAGAUGUUAUUUCCCGAAAGGGUCUCUAUAUAGGUGCUGCAUGGCUGUCGUCAGCUCGUGCCGUGAGGUGUUUGGUUAAGUCCAGCAACGAGCGCAACCCUUAUCGUUAGUUGCCAGCGCGUAAUGGCGGGAACUCUAAUGAGACUGCCUGGGUUAACCAGGAGGAAGGUGAGGAUGACGUCAAGUCCGCAUGGCCUUUAUGUCUGGGGCUACACACGUGCUACAAUGGUCGGUACAGAAGGCAGCAAGACCGCAAGGUGGAGCAAAUCCGUAAAGCCGAUCACAGUUCAGAUUGUAGUCUGCAACUCGACUACAUGAAGUUGGAAUUGCUAGUAAUGACGUGUCAGCAACAAC